GGGCUUGCUGGACGGUGGAAUCGCGCCUGAUUAAAGGAGAACAAUGUCAAGGUAAACAUGCCCCAGAAGAUAAAGCUAUCACAAGAGAAUUGAAGCUACUUGUUCAACAUGACAGUUUUUUUAAUAUAAAAAUUAUAUAUUUUGUUGUUUGACCGAAAUCAUGGGUGGAUUGUGUAAAACCUUCAUAAAACCUCCAGAUGCAGUACAACAAUCUAUUGUACGUAGAUCGACAUUAAAAUUUUCCAACAAUAAAAACACAUCUUAUCUUAUAAAAUAUAUACAAUCAUAAUUUGUAAAAAAAAAAAAAUACAAUCAUAGUCCCUUCUAAAAAUACAAGCCUAUUUGCUUACAAUUCAUUAAUUAAGUGAUAAAACUAAAGUAGUUAAUAACUACCAAACAUGUACAUUAGGCAUAGAAGUCCAAGCACAAUAAGCACAAACUAACUUCUGAGAAAUGUACACAUAAACAGCAAAAGAAAUACUCAUUAAAAACAAAUCUUUCCAAUCACCCUUUUGUUGUUGUGGACUUAAAUUAUUCAUCUUCUCUUGUGACUUAUUCUUCCCAAUUAUCUUCUCAAAAUCAUUCAAAAUAACUUUCCAUUUCAACAAUGGUACCUUCCCUUUUCCACCUCCUCUUCCAAUAUCUUUCUUUUCUUCAUUAUUGGAGUUAGAGAUAUUUAAUGCUCUUCUACUUUGACAAGAUAUUGGAACAAUAGGUGCCCUUAAUCUACAAAAAGAAUAGCCAAUAAUUAGAGAUGCCAUAGAUGAAUUUUUUUGUUUAUUGGAGUAGGAAUUGUAUUAUUAAUUUGAAGUCAACAUAUGUAGAUAAAAUAAAAUAGAUAUAGAUGUCACUUUAUGACUACUAAAAUGUUGGAACUCUAUUUUUUCAUUACUAAGAUGAAUUAUUGUACCUUAGAUAUUUUGAUUAAAUGGAUUGGUUGAUGGAUAAGGAGUCUAUUAUUGACCUUGGACAUUGUGUGGAGGAGACACGAUAUAAUGAGAGAAUAUAAAAUAGAAUUUUUCCCGUAAAAAAAAUAAUAAAAUAGAUUUUUUUUCUUUCAUAAAUAAAAUUAAGAGAAUUCUUUAAUCAAUUAUUUAGAGGAAAGUGGAGAGAGCUUUAGAUUGUUAACUGUUGAGUCUAUAUUAUAAAAUAUAUUUGAUGUUUUACAAAAAUUAAAAAUUUUAAAAAAUUUAUUAUUGAUUUUAAAAAAUAUUUUAUAGUAUCUGUAAUUUAAAUGAAAAAGGUAAGUCAUCUCCUCUCCUUAAAAAAUUUUCAUCCAAACAUAUCCAAUAAUUAAGACACAUAAAUCAUGUCAAUCAUCACACUUUUUAAAUAAAUAAAGACAUGUAUGUAAGGCUUAACUUGUUUGACGAUGUUGAAAUAUUUAAGUUGGAUACUUUUAACCAUUAUCCGGGUUCGAACCUGAAAUUCCUUAUUCAUGUUUGAACUUAAAAUUCCUUAUUUGUGCAUGUAGGAUUUUAGUGAAACUUGUCAAUUUGUCAUACGACAAAAAAAAAUACCAUGCCAAAAAAUAUCGUAUAAUAGUACACUAAAAAAGGAUUUUAAGGUUUUCUUUUUUUGAAUGAAAAAAGGAUUUUAAGGUUUACUACCUAUAAUGUAAAAGAAAAAGUUGAUUACCUAUAAUACCGCUUUUAAAUGCUACUAUUUAAAAACCCUUAUAUAAUAUUCCCUCUGAUUUUUAAUAUAAAAAGAAGUUCACUAUUUAGAUAUAUUGAAAUAUUGUCUAAAAAGUGAACUUCUUCUAUAUUAAGGACCGGAGGGAAUAGUGUUUCCCCGGAAAGUGCUAUCAUAACCUAUUUUAAGUGCUAAUAGUCCUUAAUAGCACUUCAAAUAAAACUUGCUAUUACACUCUUGUGCUAUAUGUUUUUUGAAACACUUUUGUGCUAUUUUUACAAUAGGUUUUUUUAGUGUCGGUAUAGUUAAAAUGUCUUUCUCUAGUGAAGCAGUUUCACUCCAUUAACUUUCAUUUUUUGAAGACACUAAUAUAAUACAAAUUAGCAUUAAUCACAAUUUUUUUUGGAUAUGAUCUGACUCCUCUAAAAUAAGAAAGCGAGAAGUGGGUAUUAUAAACUAUUGAUUAAAUCAAAAGUAGAGAUAUUACAAGUAUAAAAAAUGUUGUUUAUAGCGGACAACAAACCACGAGAGAUAGCGAACAGUGUAUUUUUAUCACAUUUCAGUCCAAUCACCCAUGUUUUCCGCAAAAGUCAAAUUUGACCAUUUUCGUUUUAACUAGUACAAAAUAAUGCUUCGUUAAGAAUUCGUGAUAAAAGUCUUCGCUAUGAAUAACAUUGCUUAGUAUGUCAUAACAAAUCAUAAAUUUAUUUGUUAACAUCUCUCACUAGACAGUCAAAUACCCACCUCACUCAAAGUCAUCCUCAAGCAAUCUUAAUGAAAAUUUGAACAAGCCAUGUAUUUAAAACAGCGCAACUCUUAACUUCAACUAGUUGGUACAAAUGGUUUUUUCAGGCAUUGAUUUGUAAUGUGGCUCAUCAAACAGAUAAUGCAAUUGGAAGUCUUCAAAAAAUGGGGUAUAUACAGUCAAACCGGCUUAUAGAUUAUGCUUCAAUUUAGUCAUCGAACCACCCAUCCCAAUAGUAACUGUAACUUCUUUUGUCAAGUAAAUUAAUGGUCAGAAAUUCUACGUAAAUAAAUAGGCUUUGUUUGGUAAAAAAAACGGAUAACUGAUAAGGUAACUUAUAGCGGAUAACUUAUAAACUAACUUUUAGCUUAUAGCGAAUAAGCUAGCUGAUUGAAUUUGUAGUGUUUGGUAAAAUUAGCAGUUGAAUUACCUUAUAAGUAUGAAAUGACAUAAAAAAAGAUAUGUUUAAUUAAUAUUUAUUUUUUUCAAUUAAGAUGAUAGGGGUAAUAUUGGAAGAAAAAAUGAUAAGCUAUAAGCUAUAAGUUCAUAACUACUUGAAAAAUAAGCAAUAAGCUAGUAAAAUAAGUUAUAAAUUCUUUUUAAAAAACUGUUACUAAACAGAUCUUUUAGCUUAUAAGCUAUAAAUAAGCUAGCUUAUUGUACUUCUCAAACAGAGCCAGAGUAUCUAAGGUUCAAAUUUUGACUUUUACCUAUAUAAUGCGAUGUUCUUAUCAACCGAAUUAAUCUCACCAAAACUGUAAAUUAAUUUGGAAAUUAGUGAUCUUACUAAAAUAAAAUAAGUUAAAAGUUGGAGUUUUUACCGCCCCGAUUAUAUUAAAGGAGCCUAUUGAGAAAUAUGAUGUUAACGAAAAAUGAGUGAAAAACUUAUGAAGUUUAUAUCGAUAAUAGUAUAGGUAAAAUGAUAUAUUUAGAUUAUAUAUUUAAUCAUUUAACUUAAUUUCAGGUAAUAAUUCAGUCUUUUAUAUAUGUUUUUUUGUCCUUUUUUUUUAAUCUUAAUUCAUGUUUGUAUAUGAUUUUUCAUGCUUCAAAUCUAUAACAUAUAUUUAUGAUUGAUAGUGAACAAAGAAAAAAACUAUAUUUAAAGUUUAAAAGUCUGUUUGGUUCAAAAGAGACGAGGGAAGGGGAGACUAUGAGGAUAAAUUUUUUAAGGAAUAAUGUUGGUAUUUUAAAAUAAAUAUGAAGAUAAUUAUGUCAUUAAUGUAAUUAAAAUUAUAAUAGUUUUUCAGCCGGAGCUGGCUGCUCAACUAAACUACUUGUGGAAGCCGACCCAUCGAUAGAAGCAGCGGGGCGGGAAGGCUGAUGCAACUCUUGGUUUACGCUUGCUUCUGAGCCUGCAUCAGACCUAGUAGACACCCAAAGAAGAAUUUCCUCUGCACCGAAUAGUGCUCGCACUAUAAAGCCAAUAGCAGGAAGUUGAAUCAAUCUCGUUUGCUACAGGAUUCUUUCGAUCUAGUAAAGUAAACCCCUUUUUUACUAAAAUGUCAAAUCCUCAAUUCUUCUUAGUACCCUUUAAUGAAUGGGAAGAGGAAGUGGGAAGACUUCCCAUCACGACCUAAAGGUCUGUUUGAAACUCCUGAUCUAACAGCCGCUCAAACUAAGAGCAGUUUGGAACAAAUCUACCUCCCUAUUUCUACUGGUCGAGUGAGUUCUUGCUUCUCUGCUUCGAGUUGCCCUUACCUGAUAUGGAAUUUCCUUUGUUUUCAAAAGAUGUCGUAGUACAUCUCUCCUCCCCUCCCCUCCAAAUCUCCCCAAAUUGGGGGGAAGCAAAAGAUGAAGUUAUGAGGGAUUUUGCACCCCCCCUAAAAAUUGAACCAAACACAUAUAAUUAAAAAUAUUACAUCUCACCCCGUUUCCUCCAUCUACUCCGAAUCAAACACACCCUAAAAUUCAUAUUCAAACAUGAAAAAGAAGAUAAAAGACUAAAGUAAUAAAACUGAAAUUUUUUCAAUAAUUUAAAAUAGUGUUUAACCACUAUAAUGUUAGCGAAUUUUGAUUUAACUCCUAUAACAUAAUGAUUUCUUUUAUUACUCUUUGUAAUGUCAAUAUUAUGUUAUUUUAACCCAUACAAGGUUAGCUUAUCAUCAACAAACCCGGGGUACUCCACUUAUUCACCUUUAAAGUGGAUUUUCUAGCUACUAGACUACUUGAAAAGAAAAAAAUUAACCAUAAAGAACACUUAUUACUCAAAACAUAAAUAAACAUCAAUGUUUAUUCUUAACCAUCAUAAUUUCAUAAACAAAAGCCAAACUAAUGUUUAUACUUAACCAACCAAGAAAUAUAUUACCAAACAAGGCCAAGUCUAACAUGCACAAGUGGAGAAAGUCCUCCACGGUGCACAAGUUAGCAAUUAUACUAUAACGAAUACAAAUUUUACAAAAUUCACCGUUGGAUUGAAAGUUUAUACCAUAUAGGUCAUCCAUAAAAAUUUUGAAAAAAAUUGAAAAUAAUUUGAUAUGUCAUUGAGACCCAUUAAUAUUAACGUUAGUCAAUAAAAAACCAUAAACCGUUAAUUUUGACGGGUCUCAAUAACAUAUCAAAUGAUUUUCAAUUUUUUUCAAAAUUUUUAUGGAUGAUCUAUAUGAUAUAAACUUUCGAUGCAACGGUAAAUUUUAUAAAAUUCGUAUUCGUUAUAGUAUAAUUGCUAACUUGUGCAUCGUGAAAAACUUUCUCCAUUUAUUCAUGUUAGACAAAACCACCAAACAAUUGAUGCACCAAGAGCUAGUGUAUUGCUUAAGUAAAAAUAAAAAAGCUAGUGUCUUGCUUAGAACCAAUAGCUUCAACAUAAAUAUAAUCACAGACGAAUCCAAAAACUUAUCAAUUAUCAUAUUGAGGAUAAAAAAUUGUAAAUAGUAAAAUGAAUGUAUUUAUUUAGAGAGAUUAUUUUUGUUUAUAUUGUCAAUAAUUUUUUUAUUAUCAUGUUAUAGGUAUGAAAUUCUCGUCAUCAUUUGACGGCGACUAACUAAUUGCCUUUGAAAAACAUGUGGGCACAAAAAUAAAAAUAGACCAAAAUAUAAACGGACCAAAAUAAAUUGAUCUUGAAAUCUACACAGACUGCAUGUUAUAAGAAUCGAUCAACGAACCUUAACUCAUGUAUUCAGCUCUAACAUUAAUUAUAAGCAAUUUUUGUUCUUCAAAAUUCAUUAAAUAGUCUUUAACUUUUUAUAAAACUAUAUGUAAUUUUUUUUGGUUACUAUGAUGUUGGUAUAAAGUUUCCACGUAGUUAGUGAUAACUAAUCUCAGUCACAAAAUUUGUGGGGCACAUAAGGUGAGUUAUACCUUCAACCGAAUUUUCUCCAUAUUUAUAAGUCAGAAAUCGAAUUUCUUACCACGUGCUUAAGAAAAUCAAGACCAUACCACAUUAAAAUUUGAAUAUUUUAACAUUUUGAAUAAUUACUCCUUCAGAUUCUUAAUACUACCUCCGGUCCUUUUUAUAAGGAGCACUUUGAAAAAAUCACACAGACCAAGAAAACACAUUUAACAUAGUUAUUUUCAUUUAAUACUCUUACAAAUUUAAAUUUAUUCCAUGUAUACCCUUAUUUAAUUACUCUUUAUUCAAUUAACUUAUUUAUUUUUAAAUUCUCUCUCAUAAUAAAUAAGGGCAUAAGUGAAAUUGAACAUUUAAAACAUUUGAAAAUUGGUCAAAAUUUCUUAUAAAAAGAAUCAAUUUUUUUUUCUCCAAAGUGUUCCUUAUAAAAAGUACUGUAAGAAGUAUAAAAUAAGCUUUACUCUAUAAAUUCAUUAAAAAUUUAAUGUAUUUAGUCCAUAAGAUGAACUAGAUACAUUCAAUUAUCAAUACAACUAAAAUGUAAAAUUUCUCAGAGUAUUUAUUUUGAAGUUGAAACUUGAAACCUUUAAUUAAUUUUUGUCAAAAAGAAAGACCUUUAAUUAAUUAAUCUCCCAAAAACAAAAAAAUUACAUGACAAAAAAAGCUUAAUUUGAGAAACGUGUCAUGUUCUUAGUGGUUUACCAAACACAAAAUUUACAUUUCCACCACACGCAAUUCAAAACACCCAAACCCACCGAACCAUUUCUCACUUUGCAUGCACAAACUUCAAAACUAACAAGUCAAGCUAGUUUUACAUUUUUAAAUUCAUCUAAAAUACGCCGGCACCGCACAAUACGCACCCUCAAAUUUCCUUUUUCUCUUCAAUUCUCUUUCACGUUCAGUGCGCUCUACGCACAUUGCGUAUUCAAGUCCAACUCUUUCUCUUUCUCUCUCUUCACUUUACUUUUUCUCCGUUGACUACAACAAGAAUNNNNNNNNNNNNNNNNNNNNNNNCAUUUUCAUUUUUCUUUUAUUUUCUCUCUUCAUUUUCUUCACCGCCAUAAAACUUGCCGGAAAAUCUCUUCCGAGUAACCCUAGCCGCAAUUUUCAUGCUCUGCGUUUUUGGUAAUUUAUCGUCGUUUUAAUUAUGAAGAGAUUGCGAUCAACCGAAGAUCUUCACUCUUAUGGUGAAAAGAACGGUGCUGAUAAGAAUUCAAAUCUUUCUGUUAAGGAUUCUAAUUCCAAUUCAAAUCUGAACCGUUCGUUUUCUUCUACUGGUCAAAGAAGUUUUUACUAUAAACAAGAGAAUGUGAGGAAGAAUUUGAUAUCUUCGUCGUCGUCUUCGUCGCGAUUCGAUAGGGAUAGAGAUAGGGAUAGGGAUCGGACGGUGGAGGAAGAUCGAGAAAGUUCUAGAAUUGUUCGGAAGCGAUCUGAACAUGAUUUCGAUGGUUUUGAUCGGAGGAAGGGUUUUGAUCGGUAUAAUCGUGAUGGUGGUUACAGUGGAGGUGGAGAUAGAGAUAGAGAUAGGAAUUCGAUUCAUAGGUCGGAGAGUUUUUGUGGAGGUUCGAGGAGGGAGUUUCCGAAGGGGUUUCGGUCGGAGAGGGAUCGAUCGAGGAGGGAAGGGAGUGUGUCGUCGUGGAGGAGAGGUUUAAAGGAUUUUGAUGAGAGUAGCAGAGGGGGGAAUAGUAGAGUUGAAGAGAGAAUUGUGAGGUCACCAAAGGGUUUCUCGAGGGACGUGAAAUCGCCUAGUUGGUCUAAGGAUUCUGAGAGUGAACAAUCGAAGAAGAGAUCUUCGGAGUCUCCGAGGGUGUUUAGAGAAGCUACUAAGUCGAUAUCAAAGUCGCCUUCUUGGUCUAAGGAUUCGGAGAGUGAACAAUCGAAGAGUGUUAGUGUGGAGGUGAAGAAAAGUGAUGAGUUGUUGCAACAGGUUCAGAGUGGUAGUGGUAGUGAAAUGGAAGAGGGGGAGCUUGUACCUGAACCCGUCGCUAAAACUGAGGCCGAAGCNNNNNNNNNNNNNNNNNNNNNNNNNNNNNNNNNNNNNNNNNNNNNNNNNNNNNNNNNNNNUGCUGCAGCUGGAAGGGAAAGACUGCAAGCCUCUGAGGAUGAACAAGUGCACAAGAAGAAUGAAUUUGGUUCGAGUGAUGCAGAUGUUGUUAUGGAAGAAAAACAGAUGUUGGGUGAGAAAGAGGUGAAACCUAUGGAGGAUGUUGAUUCUGAGGUAAAAGAUGCAGAGAAGGAAGUUCAUGAAUUGUCUAAGAAUCAAGAUAAAUCUACUAAGGAAAUUGCUGUUAAUAAGGAUGAGAUUAGAACUGUUGAUAAUGAUAAUGUUAAGAAGGAUGUGUGUUUGAAUGGUGAUGAUACUCGGCACAAGGAGGUGGAGAAGGAAAAGGCAGAAAAUAACGAGAAGGCAUUGCUUAAGAAGGAAAGGGGGGAAAAUAACGAGAAGGCGUUGCUUAAUGAAGAAGAGCAUGAGGUGGACAAGGGUGUAGGUGGUGACAAACUUGACGGAAAUGAUGAAGGCUCAACAGAGAAUACAGUUGGUGUUGAAGUGCAGGAAGAAAUGAUGAUGGAGAGUGUGACAAAUAAUGUGAAGGAUAAAGGCAAAAGCAUUUCGGUCGCACCUGAUGUUGCUCAUGCUUCAGAAGAUGGCUUGUGGAUUGAUAGAGGGUCAAAAGAUCUCACAACAAGCCCCGCAGAUGUCAUGGAAGGUCCAAGCACAAGAGGGUUUGAACUUUUCUCUAGAUCUCCAGUAAGAAAAGUAGAAAAGUCUGAUCGCUCGGUUCUAAAAAAGGAGAAUGAUGACAGUCUUGGAAUGGGGCAGCUUGUUCUUACUCUUAGCUUGCCGAAUGUUCUGUUACCUAUAGGUGCUCAGGAGACGGCGUCGCAAGCCCCUGGUUCUCCUAGUCAAGCACUGAGUGUUCAGUCUCUAAGUAAUACAUUUUGCACUAACUCAGAUGGUUUUACUGCAUCGAUGUCAUUUUCAGGUUCACAAUCACUAUAUCACAAUCCAAGUUGUUCGUUAACGAGAAAUUCAGUGGACUAUGAACAAUCUGUUGGCAAAUCGGUUGGUAGUCGCCCCUUGUUCCAGGGAUUUGAUUGGCAAGCCCUAUCUCAGGCUGAACCCAAGCAGAAAGAAGUUCCCUCUGGUCAGAGAACUUCGAGUAAUGGGAACGGCUCUCUUUACCAGCCUCAAGCAUCAUGGGGAAUUUUAGAUAAUCAAGCUUUGAAAGGACAACCUUCUAGGCCUCUUGAAGGAAGCUCAAAAAUGGGAAAUGGGCUUGAAAGGCAAUUGAGUUUUCAUAAGCAGCUUUCAGGACAGUCAAGACAACAUGAUGAUGUUCGAUCUCCUACACAGAGUGUUGGGUCACAUGACAAUGGAUCGAAUUAUAGUUUCGAGAAGAAGAGGGAUGUUAGGGAAAGAAGUAGCAGUAGUCUACAUCGAUCAACUAGCCAGAAGGGACAAGAUAAUUUUCUGAUGGGUGGACUUGAAUUUGUUAAGACAAUCAUUGCAAGAAUAGUUUCUGAACCUGUGCAAGCAAUGUCCAGAAAGUUCCAUGAAAUGAAUGGACAGUACAUAACGCGUAUGAAAGAGGGUAUUCGGGAACUCAUGGUCAGUGCAGAUAACCAGGGACAAAUACUUACUUUUCAAAAUGUUUUGCAGAACAGGUCUGACAUAUCCUAUGAUGUCCUAGUGAAGUGUCACCUAGCGCAACUGGAAAUUUUGGUUGCAUUAAAAACUGGUGUAGUCCAUUAUCUUCACCUAGAUGAUAACAUUUCAUCUUCUGAUUUAGCUCAAAUUUUUCUAAACUUGAAGUGUAGGAAUUUAUCAUGUCGAAAUCAGUUGCAUGUCGAUGAAUGUGAUUGCAAGCUUUGUGUGCAGAAGAACGGUUUUUGCAGGGAAUGUAUGUGUGUUGUGUGUUCUAAGUUUGACAAUGCGUCGAGCACAUGUAGUUGGGUUGGGUGUGAUGUUUGUCUUCACUGGUGUCAUACUGACUGUGGAUUACGAGAAUCUUAUAUUAGAAAUGGACUUAGUACUACUGGAACGAAAGGGACGACUGAGAUGCAGUUUCACUGCAUUGCUUGUGAUCACCCUUCUGAGAUGUUUGGCUUUGUCAAAGAGGUGUUUCAAAAUUUUGCAAAAGAUUGGUCACCCGAAUCUCUUUGCAAGGAACUUGAAUAUGUGAAGAGAAUCUUUUCUGCUAGCAAGGAUAUUAGAGGGAGACAGUUGCAUGAGAUUGCGGAUAAAAUGUUGCCGAGCCUGGCCAUCAAGUCUAACAUCCCUGAGGUUUUAAGACACAUCAUGUCUUUCUUUUCUGGUAAGUAACAAAUGUCUUUGAUUAUUUGAAUGCUUUUAUCCUAUUUUCUUAUUUUUACAGUAUAUGAAAUGCUUGCAUUCAACAAUGAUAUACUAUUUUCCUGCUGUCUGAAUGACAUGAAAAUAUUAUUGUUGCAAGAUUUAAAUGAGCCUUUCUUUUCCGUAAAUUAUUCUGUUUGGCCUGGUAUUUUUUGGAAUGUCUCAAACCAUGUCAACAACUCUAUGUUAGAUAGGUUCAUUCAAUCAUGUGGAAUAUAGCUAGUGAUGGCGUUUCCUCAAUAUAGUUGGGCAUUUAUGUUCUUAGGUCAUAUACGUCAUUGGUGUUUGUGAAGGCUAAAUUGUAUGUAUUUACAUGCAUGGUUAUUAGUAUAUUACGUUUGUAUCAUGAGUCGUAUCCAGAUUUGAUACUAAACUGAACUCAAUCAAUACAAAUCCCGAUUCACUAUGAUGAAUCACGUUUCAUUCUAAUGAAUUUUUACCUAAACUUAGUGUAGUCAACCACCUGUUAUAUCAACUUUGUAUAAUCAACCGCUUUUCAUUUGUAAUUUGCUUUAUGACUCAAAUCUUGAAUUGCUUUGAGGUUCAUAUAUGAUAUAUCUGCUUAUAAUUUGUUGUCACUUGUUUUUACUUAAACAAGUCAUUAUCAUUGGUAAUAUAUCUUAAGAUUCAUCAUAAAAUUUGAUUCACUAUUCGCAAAAUAGGUCUUCUGAUUUCUGAUAUGAUAACCAUGUUUACAUGCAUUAUGGUUAAUUGCAGAUUGUGAUUCUUCCAAAUUACCCAUGACAACAAACUUUUCUGGUAAGGAACAAGUCAAAGAAAACAAUGGGGUAGCUGGGCCCAGCCAGGAAGCUGCUUGGCUAAAAUCUAUUUAUUCAGAAAAGCCAGCUCUGUUAGAAAGACCUGCAAGCAUCCUUCCAAGAUUUGACCAGAAUGAUAAAAGGACACUGGUGCAAGAGUUGCAGAUGAGUAGUAUCCAAAAAGACUUCUGUUUUGAUGAAUUAGAAAGUAUAAUAAAAAUCAAACAUGCAGAGGCCAAAAUGUUCCAAUCUCGUGCUGAUGAUGCUAGGAGAGAAGCUGAAGGGUUAAAACGCAUCGCCCUUGCAAAGAAUGAGAAAAUUGAAGAAGAGUAUGCCAAUCGAAUUGCCAAGCUGCGUUUUGCCGAGACAGAUGAUUUGCGUAAACAAAAAUUCGAAGAACUCCAAGCAAUAGAGAGGGCACAUCAUGAGUAUUUGAACAUGAAAAUGAGAAUGGAGUCAGACAUUAAAGAUCUGUUAUCCAAAAUGGAAGCUACUAAAAUGAACCUUGCCAUGUGACCUGAUCAAAAUAUUUAGAAUAGUUAUUUCAGGUAAAUGUAUUAUCACUCAUCCUGAAAUUUGUAGGUUCUAGUGCUCUACCAUGUUGUUGUGAACUACCAUAGUUUUAUUUAUUUUUCAUUGUAGUUUAUUUUGCUUAUAAGCUGCUAACCAAAAUCUGUAGAGUCCAUCACAGUAGUUAACAGUCUUAUAAAACAAUUUCGAUUAUGAAAGCAGUUUUAAACAGUUUAUUAUUUGAACUGACAAAAAAUUGGCCAGCAUGUGGCUUGGAUUUGAUGUACAGGCUUGUUGUACUGACUGUUGCGUAUGAAAAUUUAUAAAAUAGAAACCUUGGUGGAUAUUGUGCUUUCAAAUUUAAUGUUACAUUUAGGACAAGUGUGGUCCAGCAGUACCUUUUUCAUCACUUCCUGUUGGUCUGUGUUAAUAUUUCUGACACAUUUAUUCAAUCAUAAAUUCAUAAGUUUUCCAGCUAUCUUUUAAAGAAUCUUCUACAUAGUAUAUGUUGGGGUUAUAUUUGUCAUUCUGACAUGGAUGUAAAUAAAGCUUCAUCAGGAGUUGCAUUCUCUUAUGAAGCUACAUUUUUUUCUUUUUUCUGCAUUGGUUUUCAAAUUUUAAAGAGCAAUAAAAGUUGCAAGAAAUCUGUUGGUGUAAAUUCUUGGCAGAUUUUACUUUUAUCUUGUGCCCGAAUUUUGGAUUAUCGGGAUAUCUUUUCUCUAGAAACCAAAGGGUAUAAUACAAAAAAUAUAUAUUUUUCUUUCACUCCCAAAAAAUCAAUUCAAGAAAUCUGGGGUGCUUUGUUUUAAUAUUUUUUUUCCAUUCGUUUGUUAGUACUGAUUUUCUAGUCUGGUUGUAUCGUAUCAUUGGAUGAAAUUUCUCUCAGACUGAAAGAGGGUAUGGGUAUGAGAGUUUUUUUUUUUCCCUCUUUAAUUUUGAGGUUAUUUUAGUCCUUAAAUGUGUUUUUGUUUCCCGUAAAGUCAACAAAUUUGGGUUUUAAGUCUUCGUACAAAAAAUCCUCUCAUUUUGCCUCUGUAGUUUCAGAUUACUUUGGUUUCAGUCCUUAAUGUGGUCAAGUGGAAGAGCCGUGUUAUGGGUUCCGUCGGGUUGGUAAAGCAACCAGGAUCCUCUUUCCUCCAAAAAAAAGGUCCAAGCAGUCACGUGCCUCUUCCAUCCGUUCGGUCCUCGCUCUCAAUGAAAACUACCGGAAUAUUGAAGCAACCUUUCGCAUAGCCCUUUCUUUUCUUUCUUGGGCAAUUGAAUCAUGAACAGGUGCAGAAGACAUGUCACACAAAAAUGCUGACAUGGCCAAAACCUGCUGAUUGGACCAUUAUUAUAUGUUCAUAGACUUGACAAAUUAUACGGACAGAAACCAAAACUCACAUAAAUUAUAGAGACGAAAAUCAAAACUCACAAAUUACAAGGACGUAAAUCAAAAUUCACUCAAAUUAGUGACGAAAUUUAAUAAGACUACUCAUUCACUCGAGUAUUUUAUCAUACACAAAUUUAAAUGUGGUGGGAUGGAUUGACCCACAUGCAUGUUUUUUUUUAAUGUAUUGAGAUUAAAAAUGAAGUGCUCAAUCCAAUUUUUGUCUUUUUUGUUGAACACUUCAUUUUUAAUCUCAAUACAUAAAAAAAAAUGCAUAUGGGCCAAUCCAUCCUACCACAUUUUUUAAGCGAGUUAGACGGAGCAGAUUAACUUAAAGUUACCAGACACAAAAAUUUAGCUCAACUUGUAAAAAAUAGUGGCUUAAACAGAUUGACUUGAUGGACUCGAUUCAUUUUACCACCCCUAACCAUGAAUAGACAAAAAUAUAAAAAUGACUUAAAAAUGAGAUGAGGGACUAAAAUUUAGAUCAAAAUUUAAUUGAAGACUAAACAAUCAAUCUUCAAAAUGGGAGACCAAAACUUCAUUCUUUUAAAAAUAGAGAAACCAAAAAUGUUAUUAACCCUUUUUUUAUUUUUAUUUUUAUUUUUUUAUCUCUCCUAUAUUUUUUGUUACAAGCAUUACAUUUUGAGAUUUACUUUUGUCACCCUACUGAUUCUAGGGUGCGUCCUAUAAAAUUACCAAAAUACUCCCGGCCGCUACUUAUGUAACGGGUUCUACGUAGGAGGGUGUUUUUCUCUAAAAAAUCUUAUUUUUAUAACAUUUGCUACUUAAGUAACAGAUUAUAAUGAGAAAUUUUCAUGUUAAAGAGUGUUUAUUUUCUUCUUCUCAAAUUUCAUAUUUUUAUAACGUCCGCUACUUAAGUAGAGAACUGAUAAAAAUCUUAGUAGAGUAUUUUUUUUUUCAAAAUUUCUCAUUUUUAUAACGUUCUCUACUUAAGUAGCGGAAGGGUAAAAAGAAAAAUGCAUAGGGAGCGUGAAUAGCCCGUAGGGUGGCAAAAUAAAUCUCCUACAUUUUAGGGUGGAGAGGAAAGAGGAUUUGGCAAAAUAAAUCUUCUCAUUUUUGUUCUUUGCUGUUUUGGUUCAAGGGAAUUUCUUUUCCUGCUUCCCAUGUUUCUUGUGCGCCCCAAUUUUUAUCUUUAUGUUAUAUUAUUUUAGUAUUGGACGUUAUAAAAAUGAGAAAUUUGAGAAAACAAUCGUCCGCUACCUAACUAGCUAACGAUGUGUGUUAUCUAUCUAGUGGAUGAAGCUGACACAAGAAUAUUAACAGAAAAUAUGAUGAUCUCUUUAAUAAAAUAACAUAUUACAUUGUGAUGAAGAUCAACAACAAAGACAUAAUAAGAAAACAUAAAUUAAGCACAAACGAGACUAUGAAUUAGAUAAAUCAACCGCUUCAUCUUCAUCGUCCUCAAGUUUAACCAUGCACGCNNNNNNNNNNNNNNNNNNNNNNNNNNNNNNNNNNNNNNNNNNNNNNNNNNNNNNNNNNNNNNNNNNNNNNNNNNNNNNNNNNNNNNNNNNNNNNNNNNNNNNNNNNNNNNNNNNNNNNNNNNNNNNNNNNNNNNNNNNNNNNNNNNNNNNNNNNNNNNNNNNNNNNNNNNNNNNNNNNNNNNNNNNNNNNNNNNNNNNNNNNNNNNNNNNNNNNNNNNNNNNNNNNNNNNNNNNNNNNNNNNNNNNNNNNNNNNNNNNNNNNNNNNNNNNNNNNNNNNNNNNNNNNNNNNNNNNNNNNNNNNNNNNNNNNNNNNNNNNNNNNNNNNNNNNNNNNNNNNNNNNNNGAAAUUCAAACCAUAUUUUUAAUUUUCUCUUAUAAAAAAUAAUUUAAAACCAUAUUCAUUUUUUGGACUAAAAUUUAAAACAAAUUCUUAAUUUCUGAUUUUUGGAUCCAUCAUCAACAUAGUACAUUUACUUUUUUUGUGUUCCCCCGAUGCUUCUGCACCGACCUCUCAAUUGUCAUUAAAAUAUUGACACCAGUUGGCAACAUGGCAUAGAGUAUUGUUCUUAAUUUAUACAUGAAUUUUUAGUAUUGUGUUCACCAGAAAUAGACACAAUUAUUUUUACCAUUGAAAAAAUAGGUACAUGUUUAUAUCUCACUUUUUGUGUUUUAAAUAUUAUUUGCAUGCAUCGAUUUCCGUGCUUGUGAGUGGUAAAAAAAAGUGUGUCAAUUUUGUGUCCCUAAAUUUUGUGUUUAGAUAACACUCCUCUAACUAUUGUAUUGAAAAAUAACUAAUCACAUCUCAUUCAUUCAAAUGUGAGUGGAUAAGUAUCAAGUCACAUCGACCGUGAAUGAGAAGAAUAGUGAGUUUAUAUAAGAGAGGUGAUUCAUUAACUUUGUUUUUUUGACAAAGACUCAUUAACUUAAUAUCUUAAAGUUUUAGGUUAAUAUUGAGAUGUUGCAAUGUCUUCUUCUCUUGUGGUCCUAGAGCAUUUGACUUUGAUAUUUCUCCCGAACUCCCUCAAACUCUCCAACACAUAUUAUCUCUCUCCUUAAAUAUAAGACUCGUUGAUUAAAUCACAGAAUUAAGCAUUUUCCAAUUCAUACAAUAGUUAUACUCAGGGAGCGGUUAUGAUGCAUAAGCGAAUUCCUUAUGCACAAUGCAUAAAUAACACACAAAAUCAUUUCACAGUAAAAUGGUUUUGGAUUACAACCCUCUGAAACCAUUCCACAGUAAAAAUAGUUUUGGCAUGAUUAAAUAAAUCUAAUGUGAAACAACUCCACAGAAAAAAUGAUUUUGACAUGAUUUUUGUUUAAAACUAACUACGAAGUAAUCUGAUGACGUUCAGGGGUUGCUGUUGUUGAUUUGAGGGUGAAAAAUGAUGCAUUUGGAGAUUUGUUUAUACACUAUGCAUAAGUUUAUUCCUUAUACAUAAUAAUUCAUGUCGUUAUACCGAUAUGUUCCACUAAUAACAUAUAACAUAUAUUGUAAAAGAAUAAAGAGUAACAUGCCAUAUACUUUGCCUCAUAAAUGAGCCAUACAAAAAUAACCUCAAACGAGAUGUUGGUGAAUAACAUUAAGUUUGGCAGGACAAGAGUGAAGAACUAGGCAUGGUAGCUAUAAAUUAUCUAAUGUUUUGGUAACACAAAUUAAUAAUGCAAGCAAAAGUCAUGUGACCACGUACACAUAUAACACUAUAGUUUGAAAUUACAGAGUGUGAGAUCAACAGAUAUUGUUUCUUAAUUCUUACUAUUAUAUAGGGACAACUUGCCGCCCAUUGUUUAAAAAUUAAAAUUAGAGCCCACAGAAACCCAUUUGUAGGUUAAGUAAUUGGAAAUCAAACUAAUGAAUUGUUGCUUAAGCAGUUAGCUGAUGUUCAAGUUCUUUGCUAUUCAGAUUGGCCACAUGCAUGACAUUUUGGUAUUAAUCAACGGACUUCAAGUUGUUAAUGAGCUCUUACUUAGACGAAUCGUCUGGAAAAAAUCGAGUUUGAUUCUUAGUGAGAGUAAUUUUUGGUCGGACUUUACUUAUCUCACGAUCGAACUCUGGAUCACAGGGACUCCAUUUCCUUAAAAACUAGAGUAUUAAUUAAUGUAAUAUUUUCAUAAAUUAAAACAAAGCAGUUCUAAAUUUGUGCUUUGUGGAGUUCAUGAUCAAACUAACGAAUCAAUUAAGUGAAUCCAAUUUAGGCAGUCUAUAUUGGUAUAGAAAUGCCACCGGCUUAGUUUCUCUAUAUUGUUUGUUGCAUCUAUUGGCAAGUAUAAAAUAUUUUAGCGACUCUUGAACAUAAUUUAGGAACAUUCAUCAAGAAAGAAGUCAAAAAAUAAUUUAAGAGUUUGAACAUGGCUUAGUUUAAUUUAGGCUUAACUACACAUUUGAUCCCUUACGUUUAUUUUACGUUUUAAUUUUAUCCCUUACGUUUUAAAAGUAUUAAUUUGGUCCCCUACGUUUAUUUUAGGUUUCAAGUUAGUUUUUUCCGUCAAUUUUGUCACAUGUGACAGUCAAUUUGCAUACGUGGACAGACACGUGGCACUUGGACACACUGACACAUGUACUGUUCAAACGGUGUUAGUGACAAAACUAACGGAAAUGAUUAACUUGAAACCUAAAAUAAACGUAAGGGACCAAAUUGAUACUUUUUAAACGUAAGUGACCAAAUUGAAACCUAAAAUAAAUGUAAGGGACCAAAUAUGUAGUUAAACCUUUAAUUUAAGACUAAGAAACUCUUCUUAAGAGUUUUAACACUAUUGAAUGUUAAAGAUAUAGAUCGGACCCAAGACCUUGAUUAAGUUAGAAGAGAUUCAUCUAUCUAAUUAGCGCUAUUGUUUUUUUUUUCUACCACCAGUAUAAGGCCCAAUGGACUGCCUAAUCUGGUUCGAGGGUUAGUUCUACAUUAAGUGAUUCCAGCCCCCUUUCGAUCGCAGUUGCGGGGAUCGAACUGUGGUCGUCCCUCCUAAGUCUAGUAUCAAUCACCACCGGACCAACUAACCAUUGCUAUUAUUAUUAUUAUUUUUGUUUACAAUGAGCUGGGGAUCGAACCCAAGACCUAUAACAUACUACUCAAAUCCUUCACCACUAGACCAAACCUAGUGGCUUUCAUUGCUAUUGGGUUUUGUUUAAACAUAUUUGAUAACAUUAAACGUUUAUUUAUCUUAAGUCACAUGAAGUCAAUAAAUUUUAAUUAUUAAAUGUUGAUAACAAAUACCUUGCCCAUGUUAUUACUUCAUAAGUGUUAAUGUAGAUCACAAUGUAAUAACUCCUCCUACUUGUAGUUAUUAGACCGUACUUAUCCUAUGUACUAACUAUCAUAAAAUAAAUCUUAAAUCCUAGAUUCCCUCAGAAAUCUCGUGGCAUGAAUUAAGGAGAAAAACUCGUUUUGAAAAGUCAAAACCUUGGUGCAAAUCAAUAAGUGUUUCUCUCCAAGUGCACAAUAAAAGAGAGCAAUGCUGUGUCCAUUUCUCUUGCACACAAAACCAAAGCUUUUCUUUCCUCAAUACAUUUCUCUUUUAAUAUUGCUACACAUUUGUUUUUCUUUUCAUGGUGAAAAUGGCAGUGACAUUCAUAUAUACACUUUUUAUGACUUUGCUAUUGGCUUCUUCAGCAUUUGCUAAUUUUCAUCUCAAGUCACCUGAAGGUAAUGUUCACUCUAAUAAUGCCAAUUCAUAUUUUUUAAAGGAACACGUUGUACAUCUAACAUGUUUGAAUGUUUAAGUGAGACAAGUCUUUCCACAUAUGUUAUAAGGUUUGUCUAAUAUGAAUAAGUGAGACAAGUCUUUUAUCAUACACAAAUUUGUUUUAAUCAUUAGAUCAAUAAGUCUCACCAUUGGAUCAAUAUGUUGCGUUACAUUUCUUUUGAUCCAAUGAUAAGAUUUAUUGAUCCAAUGAUAAAAAUAAGCUUGUGCAUAGUGAAAAACUUGUCUCACUUGUGCACCAUAGAUUUGACCUUGUUCUAUACAAUAAAUUAUCAUAUUUCAAAAAGUGGGUAGUGUCUGUAUUAUCCCUGUAACACCAACACUUGAAAUUGAAGAUUGUCCGGUUCUGACACGAACAUGACACCUAAUAUAUUUGAUUAUAUUCAGUUAUGUUAUUUUUUUGAAAUUAUUACUGAUGUAGACUUGUGAGUGUCAUAUCUUGUAUUCAUCGCAGUGCUAUAAGUUGUAUUGCGGUAAUGGUUAGAUGACCGGCGAGUUUAAAAUUAUCCCAGUAGUACAUGAUUUUGUUGAAAUUCUAAAGUAUACCUUUUGUCAAAAUAUUGGUGGCUUAUCGUAAUUAUGCCAAUCUCAACGUCAAUCCAAACAUAUUAUUUAAGUGGUUAUGCAUGUUGUGUUCCUUUCCCUGAUUCUGCUAUUGUCACUCACUGCGGUUAUUAAAGUGUAACUUUUGUCAAAAUUGCGAGGGCUUAUCGUGAUUAUGCCAAUCUCACACCGUUAUUCCAAACAUAUUAUUCAAUUAGUUAUGUGUUUUCCUUUCCUAUAUUUCUAUUGUGCAUAACUUCAUAUUCUUAAACUCUGAUCCAAUGUGUUUGGUUGUGUUCUAUUAUUUCUUUUGUUUUUUUUUGUUUGCUUAAAGUUUACUUCAAAAAUGGGAACUUUGAGGAGAAGCCAAACCCAAGAUUCUUGAAGAAAACAAGAAUCAUUGGGAAACAUUCACUUCCAAAAUGGGAAAUCAAUGGUCUAGUUGAGUUNNNNNNNNNNNNNNNNNNNNNNNNNNNNNNNNNNNNNNNNNNNNNNNNNNNNNNNNNNNNNNNNNNNNNNNNNNNNNNNNNNNNNNNNNNNNNNNNNNNNNNNNNNNNNNNNNNNNNNNNNNNNNNNNNNNNNNNNNNNNNNNNNNNNNNNNNNNNNNNNNNNNNNNNNNNNNNNNNNNNNNNNNNNNNNNNNNNNNNNNNNNNNNNNNNNNNNNNNNNNNNNNNNNNNNNNNNNNNNNNNNNNNNNNNNNNNNNNNNNNNNNNNNNNNNNNNNNNNNNNNNNNNNNNNNNNNNNNNNNNNNNNNNNNNNNNNNNNNNNNNNNNNNNNNNNNNNNNNNNNNNNNNNNNNNNNNNNNNNNNNNNNNNNNNNNNNNNNNNNNNNNNNNNNNNNNNNNNNNNNNNNNNNNNNNNNNNNNNNNNNNNNNNNNNNNNNNNNNNNNNNNNNNNNNNNNNNNNNNNNNNNNNNNNNNNNNNNNNNNNNNNNNNNNNNNNNNNNNNNNNNNNNNNNNNNNNNNNNNNNNNNNNNNNNNNNNNNNNNNNNNNNNNNNNNNNNNNNNNNNNNNNNNNNNNNNNNNNNNNNNNNNNNNNNNNNNNNNNNNNNNNNNNNNNNNNNNNNNNNNNNNNNNNNNNNNNNNNNNNNNNNNNNNNNNNNNNNNNNNNNNNNNNNNNNNNNNNNNNNNNNNNNNNNNNNNNNNAGGAAAACACCAAUAAAACUUGUUUUUCUAUUUUAUAUUUUUUUUGAAAAUCUUUUUCUAUUUUUUUUAAUUCAAAGAGAAUAACAAAAAAUAAAGUUUCAUUUUUAAAAAAUAAAGAUUAUGUUUUUUUUUAAUUCAAAAAGUUUGAAAAUAAAUCUUUAAAAAUUUUAUUUCGGAAAUAAACUUUAUUUCGGAGUAAAUCUUUAUUUUGGGAGCAAAAUAAGAAUUUUUUUUUUUUUUNNNNNNNNNNNNNNNNNNNNNNNNNNNNNNNNNNNNUAUUUUGGGAGGAAUUUUUUUUUUUGUUGGAAAUUUUUUUAAAAUCAUUUAUAUGAAAAAAAAUUAAUUUUUUUGUAGGAAUUUUUUAAAAAAAUUUUGGGGAAAAAAAACAGAAUUAUUUUUUAUUUUGUAGGAAAAAAAAUUAUUUUUUAUUUUUUUAAAAAAAUAUUAUCUGACUUGGAAUUUAAAAAAUAAAUAUAAAUGAUUUUUUCCACAUGUACAAGCCACGUCAACAGGUUNNGUCCUGCUGUACACCCAGGGGGCGAAAUGAGAGAAUCUAUUUUUUGCAAGGGGGUAAACAGAAAAAAAAUCUGUGCAGGGGGGUAAACGAAAAUUUGCUUAUUUUGCAGGGGGGUAAAUGAUCAUUUACCCAUUGUUAAAUGUUGGAAACAGGUUCCUUGCCUGUUAUUUUCUUUUUUUACACAAUUCCUUUCCUAUGUUAUUACUACUCCAGUAUUUUUCAUAAGUUAAAUAUAGAUCACAAUGAGUAACAUUUAUUUGGGCACAAUCACAAUGGGUCUAUUUGGGGCAAGCCAAAAAGGUUAGCUUUUAGCUUUUGUUAUGGCUUAUAAAGACCUGUUUGGUAACGGUCUUUUCAGAAAGAGCUUUUAGCUUAUUUUACUGAAACAACGUACCUUACUAUAAUUAACCAUUAUAUUAUAUUGUGAAUAUAUUUUGUUGUUAUUUUUUCAUAAAGUAUAUCAACUGAAAUGAAAAUAUUUUUUUUUUUAAAAAAUUCGACAAAUAAAAAUUAGUUUAAUAAUAAUAUUUGAAAAAUAUAUUUAUUGAAUUAAUAAACUUAAAAUAUUGUACCAAAAAAAUAAAAUAAACUUAAAAUAUUAAAUUAUAAGUAUCUUAAAUAGUAUUAAUUUGAUAAAAAAAAUUAUUGAAUUAAAGAUGUCCUUUUAUGUCAUUUUAUAUUUAUCAGUCAGUUGAACCGCUAAUUUUACCAAACACUUCAAUCACCUUAUCAGCAAGAAGCUAUGAGCCAUAAGCUAUCAGCUAGCUUAUCGGCCAUAAGCUAUUUUUGCCAAACGAGCCAAUAUUAUUUUUGGUUUUUACCACCAAUAUCCGGCCCAUAUGACCACUUAAUUUGGUUCGGGGUCAGUUCUGACAUCAAAUGGUUCCAGUUCCAUCCCGAUCGUAGUUGCGGGGAAUCAUAGUCUUCCCUACCGAAUCUAGCUUCAAUCACCACUGAACCAACUAACGAUCGAUCAAUUUAUAUAUAUUUAGGCAUACUCCCCUCUUAACGAGAGUUUGCCAUUUAUUUGGGCCUCAAGGCUCGAGGGAUUAGUCUCUGCAGUUGUGUAUAGAGAAUACCCGAUUUAUGCAAAAAAUAAAUAAAUAUGAGUUGCAUAAGUAUGACGUAACUUGUAGGAACUACUUAUUAGUAAUUAGUAAUGUAUGAGACUCAUAAUAGAUUUCUUAAAAAGAAAACCAUCGGAGAUACUCUAACAGCUAUCGGCAAGACACUUCUUAAUUUAUGUAAAAAGAACUAUAAACAAAUCUAAAAUCCUUAGAUUCCCUCAGAUAGCUCAUGGCAUGAAUUAAGGAGAAAAACUCGUUUUGUAAAGUCAAAACCUUGAUACAAUCAAUUGCAAAGUGUUUGUCCCCAAGUGCACAAUAAAAAGAGCACAGCUUUGUCCAUUAGCAACCUGAAUUCAUUUGUCUAAUUUGUUUCUUCUCAUGCUGAAAAUGGCAGUGACAUUCAAGUGUACUAUUUUUAUCACUCUGCUCUUUGCUUCUUCAGCAUUUGCUAAUGUUCAUCCCAGGUCGCCAGAAGGUAAUAUGUUCCACUCUCAUAAUUCCAAUUCUACACCUUGAUAAUUCAUUUUCACAAAUUAUUAUCUGUGUAGACGUGUCAUUAUCAUGUCUAGUGUAUGUGUUAGUUCUACAUAUUGUACUAUGCUAAUGGUUAAUGUUUAGAUGUCUAAAGUUUAGCUUUUGCAUAAAUCGCGUUAUCAUACUGUGAUUUCGUCAAUCUCAACUCCAAUCCAAACACAAUAUUCACAGGGUAAUAUGUGUUGAUUUCCGUGAUUCUGCCAAUCUCAUCGUAAUUCUUAAAGUGGUCAUUUGACUUUCAUAUUAUGGACCAGAUACAUCGGUUAUUCAAUGAAUAUGAAAAAUGAAUUUUUGCUUAUAUAUGAAACCAGAGGGGAGUAUUACGUGCAUAACCUUAUAUUCUUAAUUUCUGAUCCAUGCCAGUGUGUUGGUUGUGUUCUUUCUUUGUUUUUUUGCUUAUAGUUUACUUUCAAAAUGGGAACUUUGAGGAGAAACCAAACCCAAGAUUUUUAAAGAAAACAAGACUAAUUGGGAAACAUUCACUUCCAAAAUGGGAAAUCAAUGGUCUAGUUGAGUACAUCUCUGGAGGGCCACAACCAGGAGGAAUGUACUUUCCAGUCACACAUGGAGUUCAUGCAGUUAGGCUUGGAAAUGAAGCUUCAAUUUCCCAAACCAUUAAAGUCAAACCUGGUCAAUGGUAUGCUUUAAUAUUAGGAGCCACAAGAACUUGUGCUCAAGAUGAAGUUUUGAGAAUCUCAGUGCCUCCACAAUCUGGUGAUGUUCCUUUACAAACACUUUAUAGUCUUAAUGGUGAUGUUAUUGCUUGGGGAUUCAAGGCUAGUUCUAAUGUUGCAAAAGUUACAUUCCAUAACCCUGGUCUUCAAGAAGAUCCUACUUGUGGUCCACUUUUGGAUGCUGUUGCUAUUAGAGAGUUUUACCCUCCGAUGCCGACAAGAGGUAAUGAACCAUAUCUGUGAAUCUAGAUUCUUUGCAGGCCUGUAGUAGGUCUAAGUCCAAUCUCACAAAUUCAACUGUUUUUGUUUUGAUUUGCAGUUGAAUGAUCUGCAGCGCUGCAUAGAAUCUAAGUCAAAUAUCUGCAGCGCUGCAUAGAAUCUAAGUCAAAUAUCUAGUUUAGAUUAUGCUUUGUCCUUUGUAGGAAAAAAAUUAUUUGAAGUUGAGAAAAUACUUGUUUUUUGUGAAGUCUUUCCAAUGCAAUUAUUAGAUUUUUAUAUUUGACCUAACUCAACUCUACAAAACUGGCCUAUAAGAGGAUGGGGUGUCACUUUAUAGAAAAUCAAGCAUAUAGACUUGUUUGGAUUGAUUGAUUUAAGUUUAUCUACCAAAAUAAGCAAUUGUGUGGUUGUUUGGGUGAGCUUGCGGAAACAACUUAUGACAUAUUCAUAGGCUGUUUUCAGCUGAUUCGCAUAUGCUCUCGGUGAUUAAUUAUGAAAACAACUUAUAACAUAUACGAAUAAAGUAUGCCUUUAUUUUAUUUUCUGUUAUAGAAAUAGCUUAUACGUAAGUACUUAUACGAUAAACACUUAUGCUAUAAUCACUUAAUUAUUUAUUUUAUCCAAACUGGGCUUCUAUCUUCUUUAACAUGAUCUCUUGCAGGUAAUUUGGUAAGAAACCAUGGCUUUGAGGAAGGUCCAUUCCCUAUUUUCAACUCAACCAAUGGUGUUCUACUCCCACCAAAACAACAAGAUCUUGUAUCACCACUCCCUGGUUGGAUUAUUGAAUCUCUCAAAGCCAUUAAAUUCAUUGAUUCAAAGCAUUUUCAUGUCCCAUUUGGACAUGGAGCAGUGGAGCUUGUUGCAGGCAGAGAAAGUGCCAUUGCACAAAUUCUCAAAACUGUUCCAAACAAAGUCUACAACCUAAAAUUCACAAUUGGUGAUGCAAGAAAUGGUUGUCAUGGAUCGAUGAUGGUCGAAGCAUUUGCUGCAAAAGAUACUUUUAAAGUUCCUUUUAAAUCGGUUGGAAAGGGAACAUUCAAAACAUCAAGUUUCAACUUCAAAGCAGUUUCAAGCAGGACUAGAAUCACUUUUUAUAGUUCUUUUUAUCAUACAAGGAUUGAUGAUUUUGGAUCUCUUUGUGGUCCUGUUCUUGAUCAAGUUAUUGUAUCUCCUGUUGCUUAAACUCUCCUUAUGUUUUACCUAGUAAUUGUGAUUUUUGCUUUAUAUCAGUUGAAUGUAACGUGAUUUAUGUUUGGAUACAUUUAGGUAAAAGUGAGUUGAAUAAUAAAUGAAAAGGUUACAAAAUUAAUUGUAGAGGUAAAAACUCGAAAUUCUAGCUUCAAGUUUGAAACAAUUCCGGUGACAAAAUAAAUCCUAUUUAAAAUCUUUCGAAUAUAUCAAAAUGAAUCUACAACAGUAAAACUAAUUUUGCUUUCUUUAAAAGUGAAAUCAAACAUUAACAAAGUGCAUGCUCGGUUUUGCUAUAGAAUCUCGUUUACUUGCAUCACAAGACACGGUAGGAGACAAGCUAUAAUUGCAAUUUUUUAGAAGUUACCUCCUUAUAACUUCGAUUCACCGUAAUUUGUAACGUGAUUCCAAAUUUUGCUCAAAUUAACAUACACUAAAUUGACUUAAAAGAAAAUAUUUGAGAGUAACUGCACAUGAUUUCGUAAGUAUAUAGUACAUCUGAACGAUACAAAAACUCGUGAUUUGUGUGAAAAUGCACAUUCAGAUAAUAAAAGUUCCUCCCAAAAAUUUUAUGAUUUUAUGAUAAUAACAAAACAACUCAUAACUUUCUUCCACUAUGUCUCCAUGAGACCAGAGGCGUCUUUUGGGGGUGUGUGACAUGUGCGACGGCAUAAGGCCUCAUAAAAAUAGGGGUCUCUAAAUUUUUUUAUAGGAUAGUAGUCUUAGUAAAUGAGAGAUAUAAAACUAGGGAUUGCAGAUUUCCAAAUGCGAGAUUGUAGAGUUCAAAUACUUGAGAUUCUCUUUAUUCUAAAAUGAUUGAUUUAUUAGUUACAAAAUGUCCUAAAAGAGAUUUUUCUAUUGUGAAUAAAUUUUUUAGACGCUUUAUAGUUAAUUGUUAUACUAUAGUUUUAUUAAAUGAAGAGGCGUGUAAUAGAGAUUGUCUUGUUUUUUAGACGCUUUAUAGCUAAUUUUGCAUUGUUUAUUUUAUUAUGGCCUAUUUUUAAUAAUCCCACAUGGUCUUCAACUUUUUGGAGACGCCCCUUUUGUUAGACUAUGAAUCUUUUUUAUGUUAAUUACAAAAUGAUUAUAUUUUUAUGUUAUUUGCAAUUAAAUCAACGAUGGUUUUUUUUUUAUAAAAAAAACUUUACGUUGUUUUUAUUAAAGGGUCACUUUUAUAUUUUGCACAGAGCCUCCAAAAACUCGGAGACGCCCCUGGAUGAGACAUGCAGCAGUAGCAUGCAAAACGUUAACAUUCAAUGCUUGUGCUAUGAAUAUUUUUAUUUUAAGCAUGGCUCUGAUAACUUAAUGCUGAAUCUGAGACAUUGCCUGCAUUGUGAAGAUAGUAACAAUGAAUACUGAAUGCUCACAUUAUAACAUGCAUUGAUGCACGCGAGUCAUGACAGAAGAAUCACAGAAAAGUUAGACUUACGAAACAUGAUUUUGGAAAUAAUUUUUUAUUUCUAAAAAACAAUAGGAUAGGGAAAGAUACUUAAGUCUAAAAUAAUUUUGCUAGGCACAUUGAGAAAUUUUGAAAUAGUAGUAAUUGAUAAUGUGACAAAAGCUUUUGUAUUAUUCCACUCGAAAAAACGCUCCUUAACUAGGCGAAUUACCCUUAAUGUACCCUUAUGGUUGUAUUGGAUGUACUUACCAAUUUUUAUGAAACAACAAAAAUUAGUGGGUAGUAACGGAGACUACCAAACUCUCCAUCCAACUCUCUUCAUUCAUCUCUCUCCAUCCAACUCNNNNNNNNNNNNNNNNNNNNNNNNNNNNNNNNNNNNNNNNNNNNNNNNNNNNNNNNNNNNNNNNNNNNNNNNNNNNNNNNNNNNNNNNNNNNNNNNNNNNNNNNNNNNNNNNNNNNNNNNNNNNNNNNNNNNNNNNNNNNNNNNNNNNNNNNNNNNNNNNNNNNNNNNNNNNNNNNNNNNNNNNNNNNNNNNNNNNNNNNNNNNNNNNNNNNNNNNNNNNNNNNNNNNNNNNNNNGAGUUGGAUUGAGAAAUGCAGAUGGAGAGAGGUUGAUGGAGAGAGUUGAACGGAGACCUGAAAUUCUAGAGGAUGUGAUCAAACAGAGGAAGAUCCGGUCUAAUGUAUCAGUGAUUUCGAUAUCAACCUAUUUCGGUAAAAAUGAUCAUUGCUUCAAUAAGUAACUGUGUUCUAAUUUCAUGUUAUAUCUCGAUCUCUAAUUUUAAUCUUAUAGGAGUGAGAUGGAUGGAGAAAAAUAGAUGGAGAGAGGAAUUGAGAGAAAUUGCCUUAGCUUUCCAAGACAAUACCAUUGAAGACAAAGCAAACAAAUCAAAGCUCACUAUGGUCUAUGGUAAUAAAAGUUAGAUGGUUGAAAAAUGCUUUAGAACACUAUUCUGCUAAAAAAUUGAUAUUUAGUACAAAAGAAAUGGUUUUUGGCUGCUUGUUCUGGUAAGCUCAGUUUGAGAUGAAACAUUAAAUUGGGUCUGCAGACUCAUAUGUCAACAUGGUAAAUUAGUUUAUUUUUGCACUUAUAUAUAUUAUUGGCUUGGCACCUUUCUAAUUCUGUUUUGUUUUAUAAAAUUGCAGGUUCAACUAAUAAACAAUUUCACCAAGAAAGGAAUGACCAGCCAUUGUUACAGGAUUGCAUAUACUUUUGGAAAGUAAGAGAAGUGGUGCAAAACAAAUUGGAAGGUUUAUGGGCCAAUUUGGUUUUAAAAGGAAAAAACUGCGUGUAGGCUAUUACUUAGCAUUAACUUAUUUUAUUUUAUUGUGGUUUAUAUGAACAUAGUGGGAUGAAAUAAAUCAAAAGAGAUAUACGAAAAGUUUUAAUAUGUUCAAUUGCAAAUAUUUUGUUUUGUAGAAAUUCAUGUGUGAGAUUUGAUUGUUAUUAUUUUAUGAUUUAAGUAUGAUGCAAUUUCUUUUUGAGUUGUACCAUUGAUGAAAUAGUUUUUAUAUACUUGUUAGUUAACCAACACUUAGAGAAUUAUCUGACUCUGAUUCCCUAAUUAUUUAGGGAUACGUAAUACAAGAGAUCUUCUCUGUCGAGUUAUAAUAUCAGUAACUCUAUAUUUUAACCAAGUACAUUUGUUAUAGUGUAUAAUGUAUUAGGCUUGCCAAGCUAAAUACAUAGUUAGUUAGAGGUGGCAUGUACACCGGUCAUGACCAAGGAUUGGGUCGUGACCAAGUUUUGAUGAACAUAUAUGAGCAAAGUGACCUAUUAUAUGUCAACUCUUUCUUUUUUGUUAUAAAGUUAAAUUAACCAUUUGGACAUUAAUUAUUCUGCCGUCACCCAUUCCCUUCCCCCAAAGUCAUUUUUUUAGAUGUAGAACCACAUAUAGUGGUGCGAUGAUCGGUGGCCUUUUGCACCACCUUUCUGCCAGCUCUCCGGCAACACCGCCUUCAUGGAGUAGAGUUUUGCAGCAGAUCUGGAGGGUAUGUAGCGGUUUUUUUUUGCAGUUUUUUGCAGUGUUCUAGAAUGAUUUCUACGUUGUGGAGGUUCGACGAGCUAGGAAUUUGAUUUGUAGCAGCGGCUUUGCUACGGCUGUUUCUGGUUCUAGCCAUUGAAGCAAUGGAAAUUUGGGUUUUAGAAGAAAAUGGGUAAGGAAAAUAUGGUGGGUUUGAUCUAGUUUUUCUAAGUAAACCAUGCCACAAACGGUGCCACUGAAUCGUCUGUUCAGAUCAGAAUAUUCUUUCGGUGUGAUUGAGGUGUCAGAGUUGUACUAUGUUGAUGAUUUAGGUUUAAGUACCAAGGGGAAAAGUAUCUUCAAAAAUGUCAGUACUUCAAUGCUCAAGUCAGUAUUACUCAAGGUGAGAAAAGGAAUGAAUGAAUGUACCUCAAGGCGAGUGCAUGCAUAUAUAAUGGAAUGUGCGUGUGUAACCGUUUUGGUUGGGUUCCCAUAUGAAUGGAAUGAGUCACAAAUAUUUUUAAGAAGAAUCAUUUAUCUUAUGCUUGGUAACAUGUAUAGCGAUUAUUGCACCUUACUUUUAAUUGGACCUUUCUGAUAAUUGCGCUUUUGACCAACCGAAAACAUUAACGGACCGCAUACAGUCAUGGAUGCUGACUACCAAAUUUCAUAUCAAAUAAAUGAUAAAUCCGUGUGUCAAAAACAAAAGCUCUAUUGGCAAGAAAACUACGAAUUAAAAUAUAAAUAAAACUCAAAGAAUCCAAUGGAUUAGAAAUGUAUAACUUUAUGUACGACGGUGGAUCUAAGGCAAUUUUGUUCUCAAGUGAUUUUUAGUGAGACAUUUAAAUCACAACCAUCAUACAUUAUCGAUAUAUUUCUUAUAAAAUAUACAAACAUUUGGGAAUUCAAUGCCCAAAUUCACGAAAUAUACAAACAUUUUCAUACUAUUUUAUAAUCGAAUGGCUGAAACCGAUUAUAACAUCCUACUCUAACCUCAAAAAAUCUAAUCCUAAAUUACCCCUAUUCCGUGACAUACAUGUGGAAUAUUUCUCAAAGCUGCCCUUGUUGUCGAGUUUUUCACACAUUCAUGCAUUUGAAGUAUUUGCGACUGACCAUUUUUGACCGAAUUGUUCAUAACCGUCUGAUCUUGAUUGAACAUCUAUCAAUGUCUUGAAUGCGUGGACCUCUGACGGUUUGAAAUUUUGAUUUGUGCUUCUAUAACUCUUGAAUUCAAUCUCAAAACACACAAUUCCACAUUUGUUCUUGAUUCCUUGUAUUAAAGAUACACCCAAAAUAAAAAAAAAGAACCUAAUCAGAAAUAGUAUGGUUGUGCCAACAAAGAAGCAUAGUUACACAUCGUCCAAAGAUAUGGAUACGUGCCUUGUGUUGUUUAGCCACCGAAAAACAACGUUUUGUGAAGCUUAUUUUCCUCCUAGGUNNNNNNNN
This 28490-nucleotide long non-coding RNA is filed under the name Trifolium pratense (red clover). Its description in RNAcentral is "long non-coding RNA (TPRA_LNC002313)". The record is from RNAcentral. Lineage: Eukaryota; Viridiplantae; Streptophyta; Magnoliopsida; Fabales; Fabaceae.